This 253-nucleotide ribosomal RNA is filed under the name uncultured bacterium. Its description in RNAcentral is "partial 16S ribosomal RNA". It matches the Rfam family "Bacterial small subunit ribosomal RNA", at positions 524 to 776 of the family's 1533-position model. The record is from RNAcentral.
UACGAAGGGGGCUAGCGUUGUUCGGAAUCACUGGGCGUAAAGGGCGCGUUGGCGGCCGAUCAAGUCGGGGGUGAAAGCCUGUGGCUCAACCACAGAAUUGCCUUCGAUACUGUUUGGCUUGAGACCGGAAGAGGUAAGUGGAACUGCGAGUGUAGAGGUGAAAUUCGUAGAUAUUCGCAAGGACACCAGUGGCGAAGGCGGCUUACUGGUCCGGUUCUGACGCUGAGGCGCGAAAGCGUGGGGAGCAAACAGG